RNAcentral lists this ribosomal RNA (454 nucleotides) under uncultured Rikenella sp. RNAcentral's name for it is "partial 16S ribosomal RNA". It matches the Rfam family "Bacterial small subunit ribosomal RNA", at positions 341 to 792 of the family's 1533-position model. The record is from RNAcentral. Lineage: Bacteria; Pseudomonadati; Bacteroidota; Bacteroidia; Bacteroidales; Rikenellaceae.
ACGGGAGGCAGCAGUGGGGAAUAUUGGUCAAUGGACGGAAGUCUGAACCAGCCAUGCCGCGUGAAGGAAUAAGGCCCUAUGGGUCGUAAACUUCUUUUGUGGUGGAGCAAUAAGGUGCACGUGUGCAUCGAUGAGAGUACAUCACGAAUAAGCAUCGGCUAACUCCGUGCCAGCAGCCGCGGUAAUACGGAGGAUGCAAACGUUAUCCGGAUUUAUUGGGUUUAGAGGGUGCGUAGGCUGUUCUUCAAGUCAGAGGUGAAAUACCCGAGCCUAACUCGGGAACUGCCUUUGAUACUGGAGGGCUUGAAUACUGUUGCCGUGGGAGGAAUGAGUAGUGUAGCGGUGAAAUGCAUAGAUAUUACUCAGAACACCGAUCGCGAAGGCAUCUCACGAAUCCGUUAUUGACGCUGAGGCACGAAAGUGUGGGGAUCAAACAGGAUUAGAUACCCUGGUA